RNAcentral lists this transfer RNA (75 nucleotides) under Sulfobacillus benefaciens. RNAcentral describes it as "tRNA-Thr". It matches the Rfam family "tRNA". Rfam says of the family: Transfer RNA (tRNA) molecules are approximately 80 nucleotides in length. The record is from RNAcentral. Lineage: Bacteria; Bacillati; Bacillota; Clostridia; Eubacteriales; Clostridiales Family XVII. Incertae Sedis. RNAcentral also lists the same sequence under 1 other name.
GCUGAUAUAGCUCAAACGGCAGAGCAACGGUUUCGUAAACCGUCGAUGAAGGUUCGAGUCCUUCUGUCAGCCCCA